CAGUCGAACGGAGUACCCCUGAAGGAGUUUUCGGACAACUGAUGGGACUACUUAGUGGCGGACGGGUGAGUAACGCGUGAGUAACCUGCCUUGGAGUGGGGAAUAACAGCUGGAAACAGCUGCUAAUACCGCAUAAUAUGUCUGUGUCGCAUGGCACUGGACAUCAAAGAUUUAUCGCUCUGAGAUGGACUCGCGUCUGAUUAGCUAGUUGGCGGGGUAACGGCCCACCAAGGCGACGAUCAGUAGCCGGACUGAGAGGUUGGCCGGCCACAUUGGGACUGAGACACGGCCCAGACUCCUACGGGAGGCAGCAGUGGGGAAUAUUGGGCAAUGGGCGCAAGCCUGACCCAGCAACGCCGCGUGAAGGAAGAAGGCUUUCGGGUUGUAAACUUCUUUUCUCAGGGACGAAGCAAGUGACGGUACCUGAGGAAUAAGCCACGGCUAACUACGUGCCAGCAGCCGCGGUAAUACGUAGGUGGCAAGCGUUAUCCGGAUUUACUGGGUGUAAAGGGCGUGUAGGCGGGACUGCAAGUCAGAUGUGAAAACCACGGGCUCAACCUGUGGCCUGCAUUUGAAACUGUAGUUCUUGAGUACUGGAGAGGCAGACGGAAUUCCUAGUGUAGCGGUGAAAUGCGUAGAUAUUAGGAGGAACACCAGUGGCGAAGGCGGUCUGCUGGACAGCAACUGACGCUGAGGCGCGAAAGCGUGGGGAGCAAACAGGAUUAGAUACCCUGGUAGUCCACGCUGUAAACGAU
This 755-nucleotide ribosomal RNA is filed under the name uncultured bacterium. RNAcentral describes it as "bacterial SSU rRNA". It matches the Rfam family "Bacterial small subunit ribosomal RNA", at positions 59 to 810 of the family's 1533-position model. The record is from RNAcentral.